UUUGUUCGAGAGAUGGUAUGAUCAAUGAAAAUAACGCAUUAAAUAAACAAGUCAAGAACAGUAUUGUGUAAUUGUCGGGCUGACUAUUGCUUAGACAGGCAGAUUAACAGAAUCGUUUCACAUAAGAUAGAAGUGUGUGUAUGUUCUCAGAUUUACGAUGAAAUCAUUCCUGUUUAUAUUGAUGACCAUUAUUCUAUUGGAACAUCUUGGAAACCAUUUGGUGGCAGGAGUAGGAUGUGCCAGUAUUGGGUGGGGAGGGUGUGCUGAUUAUGGAUGCUAUAAAUCUGGAGGUCACUGCAUAAACUAUGGAAGAAGACCAAAGAACAGAUGCCGAUGUGUUAGACGUGGAAUCAAUGAAAAAUGGAUGAAGGAGACUACGAACGUGCUAGAAUUCUUUCAAGUUAUAAUGGAUACAAAGGAAAAUGAUCCUUAAUUUCACUCUAGGAAAUUGACUAUUGACCCAACAGAAAAAAAAAACAAAUUCACCGUUUCUUUAUGUAAUGUCUAAUCUCUCUCUUAUCCAUUGACAUUUGUAGCCGUUAUAAACAAAUGCAUUUAUUAUACCAGAAUUUUGGCAAACAUAAUUAAUUUGUAUCUUCAAUUUCAAUGAAUUCUAUUAUAAAAGUC
Molecule: long non-coding RNA, 627 nt
Organism: Mytilus californianus (California mussel)
Lineage: Eukaryota; Metazoa; Mollusca; Bivalvia; Mytilida; Mytilidae
Exons: 3
Source: RefSeq, a predicted model, not a curated record